Molecule: transfer RNA, 71 nt
Filed under: Humisphaera borealis
Lineage: Bacteria; Pseudomonadati; Planctomycetota; Phycisphaerae; Tepidisphaerales; Tepidisphaeraceae
Description: tRNA-Cys
Rfam family: tRNA
About the family: Transfer RNA (tRNA) molecules are approximately 80 nucleotides in length.
Source: RNAcentral
GAGCGUGUGGCCGAACGGUCAGGCGCCGGUCUGCAAAGCCGGUUAAGCGGGUUCGAUUCCCGCCACGCUCU